GUGCUCGCACAAACACUAAAAUUGGAACGAUACAGAGAAGAUUAGUGUGGCCCCUGCACAAGGAUGACACACAAAUUCGUGAAGCAUUCCAUAUUUUU
This 98-nucleotide small nuclear RNA is filed under the name Carlito syrichta (Philippine tarsier). Lineage: Eukaryota; Metazoa; Chordata; Mammalia; Primates; Tarsiidae. The record is from RNAcentral.